UAAAUGUGCAAUGUAAUUUAUCUUAUUAAAUUUGGUAUUUUUUUAAAAAAAUUAAAAUAUAUUUUGAAGAAAUAUAUACACAAUUAUUAUCUAUGUCAAAAACUCUAAGUAAAUUUCACGAGUUAAUCGAGUAUGAAUUCAUUUAAAAAAUGAUUAAAAAAGCUAUUCAUUUAAUAAUGUAAAUUAUAAAACCCUAAAAAAAGUCAAGAGUGCUCCCUUGAGUCUCCCAAAGAAACAACGACUACUGUGGUUGGGAAGAAUGCGAGUGGUGACUUGGGGGUAUGGAAGAAGAGAAGGAACUAGCACUCCUUGAAGAAGAAUUGAUCCAGUUAUCGGUAAAGAGUUAGUAAGGCCAUCUGAAAAUCCGACAUUGCUAUGCACUGUUUGGUCAAAGAAAUCUUACAAUCCAGACAGUUUGAGAGCAUAAUUAAAAAGCAUCUGGAAAACAACAAAGAAAUUUGAAAUUCUUCCUGCAGGGCAAAACCUGUUUUCAAUAUCCUUCGAAGACGAGGAAGACUUAGAGCAGAUUAUGGAACGGCACCCAUGGUUUUUUCGAAAACAAUUAUUAAUUUUUGAUCGGAUAACGGAACCAAUGGAGCUGAGCAAAAUCAGAUUGGUUAUUUCUCCGUUUUGGAUGAAAAUUGGACCGUGUCCUCCUGAAUGUGAUAAGAAGGAUUUGAUGCAUGCAGUGGGAUCCACGUUUGGGGAAGUAAUUCAAUCAGAGCCAAAAGGAGAUUUUUGCAGGCUUAGGGUUAACUUAGACGUCUAAAAACCUCUACGAAGAGGUAUUUAUGUAUCUCUGAACAAACAAGGAAAAAUCUGGCUUCCGUUCAAAUACGAGACCCUACCAACGUUUUGCUUCGAAUGUGCUAGGUUAGGACAUGUUGUCAAAAGACUGCAUGAAAGUAUCGCCUGAAGAUCGAGCUAAAACAGAAGAUGAACUACCUUAUUCAAUAGCGCUUACGGCUGAAUCUUCCAUAAUAGGCAAAGAAAGCAUAUGGUACGGAUCCCUAAAAAAGAAAACAAUGAAUCAAUGUUACUAUACAAGCGAGAAAGCAACAGGUAAUGAUGGAAAUUGUUAUACAGACUUAAUGACACAGAAGCACCGAACGAUGACAGAGAAAGAGGCGAAAGGAAUCCCUAUUGUUCAGGAAAUAGGAGAUGAGCGACAAAAUAGUAGGGAUAAUGAAGAUAUUUUAACCCCUCAAAAAAUACCGAUAAUUGUGAAGGACAAGGCAAACAAGAAUCAGAGUGGCAUGGUAGAGAUUCGAAUAGACAAGAUGGGGGUAGAGAAAUUCACCGAAGUGAUAGCAGCUACACAAGUAAAUCAUCACAGAAACAGUUGGCGCCGCUUAGAUAAACAGGAGAAAUUUGAUGUAAUCAUAUCUGAGAUGAUUUGGCGUAAACACAAAUUUAUUCAUGAAAAACAAGUUGAUAUUGACUCAUAUCCCACUAAUGAAAAUAUGAAUAACAGAGUCAAGACAAAUAACGGACGUGUGGAGGGGCAUACAAACAUUGAUGCUGAGCAGGUUGUUUAACAAGAUACUCCAGAAUCGACACAAUAUAUAUCGGCGGCUGCCAAUUGGCAAGCCGACUGGAAUCAAUGAAGAUCCUAAGUUGGAAUGUUCGAGGGUUGGGGAACCCCCGGGCUAUAAGGAGGUUUCAAUACACGUUAAAACUCUACAAACCCCAAUUGGUCUUCAUAAUAGAGACAAAAUUAGAUUGUAUUCGUAUGGAACAGGUUAAGAAAAGAUGUCGUUUUCAGAAUGGGUUGGACAUAUCAGCUUCGGGCACACGUGGUGGGCUAUGUCUUGCAUGGAACGGCAAUUACUUGAUUCAUGUUCGUAGCUAUUCAAAGUACCAUAUCGAUGUUGAUAUUAAAGGAGAGGAUAUUUUAAGUAAAUGGAGGUUUACGAGAUUUUAUAGAAGUCCAAAACAAUCAAAUAAGCAAGAAUCUUGGAACCUUCUUCGAAGGUUAUGAAGUAGAGAAUCAAGGCUAUGGUGUGUGUGUGGAGACUUUAACGAGAUAAUGUAUGCUCACGAAAAGAGAAGAGGAGCUACAAAAGACGAGAGACAGAUGGAGGAAUUUCGGAAGGUCUUAGAUGAAUGUGAAUUGAUUGACAUGAGUUAUACAGGAAAGAAAAAUACAUGGGAGAUGGGUAAUUUUAAGGACACAAAUAUUAGAGAAACACUUGACAGAUGAGUGGCAAAUAAUGAAUGGCUCCAAGUGUUUACUGAUUAUCUGGUACAACAUCUCCCACACUCAUUCUCUGACCAUUGUCUAAUUUUAAUCCAAACGGAGAUAAAUAAUUCACAUGACGGAAGACACCAUUUUAAAUUCGAAUCUUAGUGGCUUCUUGAGCCGACUUGUGCUGAUAUUAUCAAAAAAUUAUGGGAUGAGAAAUCAGGGGAUGCCUUAGAGAAACUGGAAAAUCUUGGAGUUGGUCUACAGAAAUGGAGGCGAAAUAUCAAGGGGGAACACCAUAGAAAAACAAAGAAUCUUCGAAAUCGAUUGGCUGAACUUGAUGGAAUGGAUAGGGAGGACGAUGUAUUAGAACAAAAUUAGGGGUUUGGAAGAUAGUGAUGGGGUUCUCAAAACAGAAAGGGUGGAUAUGGAGUUCAUUAUCAAAGAUUACUUUAUGGGGCUCUUUAAAUCAAAAGGGGUAUGCAACACAAACCACUUUCUUAUGGGUGUUAACAGGUGUAUUAAUGAGGACAUGAAUCAAUUAUUAUUAGCAGAGUAUAAGGAGAAAGAUAUUGUUGAAGCGCUAAACAGCAUUGGGCCAACAGAAACCUCUAGACCUGAUGGUUUUCCAGUUAUUUUUUUCCAGAAAUUCUGGCAUAUUGUGGGAAAAGAGAUUAGUGAUUACUGUUUGAAUUUCCUCAAUAAAGGUAAGUUUUUGAAACCUUUAAAUCAUACAAAUAUAGUAUUAAUUCCAAAAACUGCUCAACCGAAAAACCCUACUCAUUUUAGGCCCAUUAGCCUUUGUUCGAUAUUUUACAAAAUCAUUUCAAAAACCAUUACCAACAGACUUCAAAAAGUACUUGAUUUUUGUAUUGACCCAGCUCUAAGUGCGUUUAUCCCGAGAAGGCUAAUAACAGAUAAUGUCCUCCUAGCCUAUGAAAUUCUACAUACUUUGAGGAACAAAAGGGUAGGGAAAAAAGGCUUACGGCUCUUAAGAUUGAUAUGAGCAAGGUAUACGAUAGGGUGGAGUUGAGGUUUUUGAAACAAAUGAUGCUCAGGAUGGCAUUUGACGAUGAAUGAGUUGCGAAGAUUAUGCAUUAUAUAGACACUGUUUCGUACUCGGUUAUCUUAAAUGGAACUCCAGGAACGGUCUUUACCCCAGAGAGAGGGUUACGACAAGGUGAUCCUCUUAGUCCUUUAUUAUUCCUCAUAUGUAGUGAAGGACUUUCUAUUUUACUUAGAUUAGCAACUGAGGAAGGAAGAAUUAAAGGGAUUAAAGUAAGUAGACGAGGACCUCAGAUCUCUCAUCUUUUAUUCGCAGACGACUGUAUUCUGUUCGGGGAAGCGACUGAGAGGCGAAUAGCGACGAUUGAACAAGUUCUUAAAGAAUAUGAGGAACGCUCUGGUCAAUGCAUCAAUUAUGGAAAAUUGACUGUGUUUUUUAGCUCAAAUACAAGGGAGACAAUUCAGGCUAAUAUUUCAAAUUGGCUGGGAGUUAAUAAAAGGUCCAAUAAUUCGAAAAAUUAUUUAGGCUUGCCAAAUAUGGUAGGUAGGAAAAAACGAAGGGCAUUUCAACAUUUGAAAGAUCGUAUAAAGAUGAAAAUCUAUAGUUGGAAUACCCAUUUUUUGUCACAAGGAGGAAAAGAGAUGUUCAUUAAAGUCGUUUUACAAACAAUUCUAACAUACACAAUGGCAUGCUUUCUAUUACCGUUAUCAAUAUGUAAUGAGAUGGAACAAUUAAUGGCACGGAAUUCAUUGGUGUCCAUGGAACAGAUUAUGUGAAUUAAAAGAUGGGGGUGGACUUGGAUAUCGUAACUUAGGUAAAUUUAAUUUGGCCCUCCUCGCGAAGUAAGGAUGGAGACUAAUUGAUAAUCCUAUAUCCCUUUUAGUAAGAACAUUAAAAGCCAAGUAUCAUCCAAAUUCUAACUUUUUAAGUUCAUAUUUACGAAGCUUACCAUCAUAUACUUGGAAAAGUAUAUGGGCUGCAAAAGGACUUCUGCUUUCAAGACUGCGACGAAGGGUGGGUAACAGGCGUAAUAUCAGCAUUGAAGAAGAUGUCUGGGUUCCAAACGUUGAUUACCUACUGAUAAAAAAACUGUCAAUAGGCAAAAUGUCACAAAGGUUGAAGAUCUUAUCGAUAGUAGGAACAGAACAUGGAGAUCUGAGAUGAUUUCAACUACCUUCUCUGAAGAGGUUGCGCAAAAGAUUAUGCGAAUUCCACUGGCUUAUUUUUCUCAUAAAGACUUUCUAAGCUGGAGGGGCGAGGCAUCUGGAGAAUAUACGGUGCGCAGCGAAUACAAGAUUCUUUUACAAAGAAAUAAAAAUUAUAGGCCAAAUGAGAUUAACAGAUGUUACAAAAAACUCUAGAACAAUGACCUCCAUUCAAAAAUUAAUAUUACAGCUUGGAUAGCUACCCUCAGCUAUCUCCCUACUCUAGUAAACCUAAGAACUAAGUGAUU
Molecule: long non-coding RNA, 4644 nt
Filed under: Gossypium barbadense (sea-island cotton)
Lineage: Eukaryota; Viridiplantae; Streptophyta; Magnoliopsida; Malvales; Malvaceae
Description: long non-coding RNA (GBAR_LNC006126)
Source: RNAcentral